RNAcentral lists this ribosomal RNA (253 nucleotides) under uncultured bacterium. Its description in RNAcentral is "partial 16S ribosomal RNA". It matches the Rfam family "Bacterial small subunit ribosomal RNA", at positions 524 to 776 of the family's 1533-position model. The record is from RNAcentral.
UACAGAGGUCUCAAGCGUUGUUCGGAUUCAUUGGGCGUAAAGGGUGCGUAGGCGGCGCGGUAAGUCGGGUGUGAAAGCCUGUGGCUCAACCACAGAAUUGCCUUCGAUACUGUAGAGCUUGAGACCGGAAGAGGUAAGUGGAACUGCGAGUGUAGAGGUGAAAUUCGUAGAUAUUCGCAAGAACACCAGUGGCGAAGGCGGCUUACUGGUCCGGUUCUGACGCUGAGGCGCGAAAGCGUGGGGAGCAAACAGG